This 119-nucleotide ribosomal RNA is filed under the name Pteropus alecto (black flying fox). The record is from RNAcentral. Lineage: Eukaryota; Metazoa; Chordata; Mammalia; Chiroptera; Pteropodidae.
CUCUACGGCCACACCACCCUAAACAUGCCUGAUUCCUUCUGAUCUCGGAAGCUAAGCAAGGUCAGGCCUGGUUAGUACUUGGAUGGGAGACCACCUAGGAAGACCGGGUGCUGUAGGCG